UCCCUAGAGGCUUAGUGGUAAAGAAUCUGCCUGCCAGUGUAGAAGACACAGGUUCGAUUCCUGGUCUGGGAU
This 72-nucleotide transfer RNA is filed under the name Ovis aries (sheep). It matches the Rfam family "tRNA". Rfam says of the family: Transfer RNA (tRNA) molecules are approximately 80 nucleotides in length. Their secondary structure includes four short double-helical elements and three loops (D, anti-codon, and T loops). Lineage: Eukaryota; Metazoa; Chordata; Mammalia; Artiodactyla; Bovidae. The record is from Rfam by way of RNAcentral.